AGUGGCGAACGGGUGAGUAACACGUUGGUGACCUGCCCCGAGGUGGGGAAUAACUGUGGGAAACCACGGCUAAUACCCCGGAUGUUAAAGAGUUUAGACAUCUUUAACUAAAGUUCCGGCGCCUCGGGAGGGGCCUGCGGGCUAUCAGCUUGUUGGUGGGGUAACGGCCUACCAAGGCUAAGACGGCUAGGGGGCGUGAGAGCGCGACCCCCCACAAUGGAACUGAGAAACGGUACAUACUCCUACGGGAGGCAGCAGUGAGGAAUAUUGCACAAUGGGGGAAACCCUGAUGCAGCAACGCCGCGUGAACGAUGAAGGCCUUCGGGUUGUAGAGUUCUUUUCUGGGGGACGAUAGUGACGGUACCUCAGGAAUAAGUCCCGGCUAGCUACGUGCCAGCAGCCGCGGUAGAACGUAGGGGGCGAGCGUUAUCCGGAUUUAUUGGGCGUAAGGCGCAGGUAGGCAGCGUUGUAGGUUGGACGUGAGAGCUCCCGGCUCAACUGGGAGAGGUCGUUCAACACUACAGUGCUCGAGGUUGGAAGAGGAGAGUAGAAUUCCAGGUGUAAUGGUGGAAUGCGUAAA
This 580-nucleotide ribosomal RNA is filed under the name uncultured organism. RNAcentral describes it as "bacterial SSU rRNA". It matches the Rfam family "Bacterial small subunit ribosomal RNA", at positions 94 to 694 of the family's 1533-position model. The record is from RNAcentral.